Caretta caretta (loggerhead turtle) is the source of this 139-nucleotide non-coding RNA. The record is from RefSeq and is a predicted model, not a curated record. NCBI's taxonomy places the organism in Eukaryota, Metazoa, Chordata, Testudines, Cheloniidae.
AAAUGGCCCCGUCCGGGCUGAAGGCGGUGGUGCGCAAGAAGAUCCUCAGCGUUGUCCUUCACAGCGUGAAGAAGGAAAGAGAAUGGAAGGUGCUGAUCAUGGACCACCCCAGCACGCGCAUCCUCUCAUCAUGCUGCAC